GCUUCGGUCGUCUAGUGGUUAGGACUUGGGAUUCUAACUCCCAAUACGAAGGUUCGAGUCCUUCUCGGAGCU
Molecule: non-coding RNA, 72 nt
Organism: Pseudocohnilembus persalinus
Lineage: Eukaryota; Ciliophora; Oligohymenophorea; Philasterida; Pseudocohnilembidae
Source: Rfam